GAUGAAGAACGUAGCGAAAUGCGAUACGUAAUGUGAAUUGCAGAAUUCAGUGAAUCAUCGAGUCUUUGAACGCACAUUGCGCCCCCUGGUAUUCCGGGGGGCAUGCCUGUCCGAGCGUCAUUGCUGCCCUCAAGCACGGCUUGUGUGUUGGGCCUCCGUCCUCCUCCCGGGGGACGGGCCCGAAAGGCAGCGGCGGCACCGCGUCCGGUCCUCGAGCGUAUGGGGCUUCGUCACCCGCUCUUGUAGGCCCGGCCGGCGCUUGCCGACACAUCAAUCUUUUUUCCAGGUUGACCUCGGAUCAGGUAGGGAUACCCGCUGAACUUAAGCAUAUCAAUAAGCGG
This 341-nucleotide unclassified non-coding RNA is filed under the name soil metagenome. RNAcentral describes it as "partial contains 5.8S ribosomal RNA, internal transcribed spacer 2, and large subunit ribosomal RNA". The stretch from base 1 to 120 matches the Rfam family "5.8S ribosomal RNA", at positions 35 to 154 of the family's 154-position model. The record is from RNAcentral.